CGGCAGCACGGGGGCAACCCUGGUGGCGAGUGGCGAACGGGUGAGUAAUAUAUCGGAACGUGCCCUGGAGUGGGGGAUAACGCAGCGAAAGUUGCGCUAAUACCGCAUACGAUCUACGGAUGAAAGUGGGGGAUUCGCAAGRACCUCAUGCUCGUGGAGCGGCCGAUAUCUGAUUAGCUAGUUGGUAGGGUAAAAGCCUACCAAGGCAUCGAUCAGUAGCUGGUCUGAGAGGACGACCAGCCACACUGGAACUGAGACACGGUCCAGACUCCUACGGGAGGCAGCAGUGGGGAAUUUUGGACAAUGGGGGCAACCCUGAUCCAGCAAUGCCGCGUGAGUGAAGAAGGCCUUCGGGUUGUAAAGCUCUUUUGUCGGGGAAGAAACGGUNCNNCUUAAUACGMUGNNCUAAUGACGGUACCCGAAGAAUAAGCACCGGCUAACUACGUGCCAGCAGCCGCGGUAAUACGUAGGGUGCAAGCGUUAAUCGGAAUUACUGGGCGUAAAGCGUGCGCAGGCGGUUAUGUAAGACAGAUGUGAAAUGCCCGGGCUCAACCUGGGAACUGCAUUUGUGACUGCAUGGCUAGAGUGUGUCAGAGGGGGGUAGAAUUCCACGUGUAGCAGUGAAAUGCGUAGAGAUGUGGAGGAAUACCGAUGGCGAAGGCAGCCCCCUGGGAUAACACUGACGCUCAUGCAC
Molecule: ribosomal RNA, 694 nt
Filed under: Oxalobacteraceae bacterium
Lineage: Bacteria; Pseudomonadati; Pseudomonadota; Betaproteobacteria; Burkholderiales; Oxalobacteraceae
Description: bacterial SSU rRNA
Rfam family: Bacterial small subunit ribosomal RNA
Source: RNAcentral